Molecule: ribosomal RNA, 253 nt
Filed under: uncultured bacterium
Lineage: Bacteria
Description: partial 16S ribosomal RNA
Rfam family: Bacterial small subunit ribosomal RNA
Source: RNAcentral
UACGUAGGGGGCAAGCGUUGUCCGGAUUCAUUGGGCGUAAAGAGCGUGUAGGCGGCCAGGUAGGUCGGUUGUGAAAACUGGAGGCUCAACCUUCAGAGGUCGACCGAAACCAUCUGGCUAGAGUCCGGGAGAGGAGAGUGGAAUUCCCAGUGUAGUGGUGAAAUGCGCAGAUAUUAGGAAGAACACCGGUGGCGAAGGCGGCUCUCUGGAACGGUACUGACGCUGAGACGCGAAAGCGUGGGGAGCGAACAGG